RNAcentral lists this ribosomal RNA (497 nucleotides) under uncultured bacterium. Its description in RNAcentral is "partial 16S ribosomal RNA". It matches the Rfam family "Bacterial small subunit ribosomal RNA", at positions 28 to 507 of the family's 1533-position model. The record is from RNAcentral.
GAUGAACGCUGGCGGCGUGCCUAAUACAUGCAAGUCGAGCGAACGGACGAGAAGCUUGCUUCUCUGAUGUUAGCGGCGGACGGGUGAGUAACACGUGGAUAACCUACCUAUAAGACUGGGAUAACUUCGGGAAACCGGAGCUAAUACCGGAUAAUAUUUUGAACCGCAUGGUUCAAAAGUGAAAGACGGUCUUGCUGUCACUUAUAGAUGGAUCCGCGCUGCAUUAGCUAGUUGGUAAGGUAACGGCUUACCAAGGCAACGAUGCAUAGCCGACCUGAGAGGGUGAUCGGCCACACUGGAACUGAGACACGGUCCAGACUCCUACAGGAGGCAGCAGUAGGGAAUCUUCCGCAAUGGGCGAAAGCCUGACGGAGCAACGCCGCGUGGGUGAUGAAGGUCUUCGGAUCGUAAAACUCUGUUAUUAGGGAAGAACAUAUGUGUAAGUAACUGUGCACAUCUUGACGGUACCUAAUCAGAAAGCCACGGCUAACUACGUG